This 229-nucleotide ribosomal RNA is filed under the name uncultured bacterium. RNAcentral describes it as "partial 16S ribosomal RNA". It matches the Rfam family "Bacterial small subunit ribosomal RNA", at positions 568 to 796 of the family's 1533-position model. The record is from RNAcentral.
UGCGUAGGCGGAUUAAUAAGUCAGUGGUGAAAUCUUUCGGCUCAACCGAGAAACUGCCAUUGAUACUGUUAAUCUUGAGUUCGGUUGAGGUAGGCGGAAUGUGUAAUGUAGCGGUGAAAUGCUUAGAUAUUACACAGAACACCAAUUGCGUAGGCAGCUUACUAGACCGACACUGACGCUGAGGCACGAAAGCGUAGGGAGCGAACAGGAUUAGAUACCCUGGUAGUCC